Molecule: ribosomal RNA, 460 nt
Filed under: uncultured bacterium
Lineage: Bacteria
Description: partial 16S ribosomal RNA
Rfam family: Bacterial small subunit ribosomal RNA
Source: RNAcentral
CCUACGGGCGGCAGCAGUGAGGAAUAUUGGUCAAUGGACGAGAGUCUGAACCAGCCAAGUAGCGUGAAGGAUGACUGCCCUAUGGGUUGUAAACUUCUUUUAUAUGGGAAUAAAAUGUUCCACGUGUGGGAUUUUGUAUGUACCAUAUGAAUAAGGAUCGGCUAACUCCGUGCCAGCAGCCGCGGUAAUACGGAUGAUCCGAGCGUUAUCCGGAUUUAUUGGGUUUAAAGGGAGCGUAGGUGGAUUGUUAAGUCAGUUGUGAAAGUUUGCGGCUCAACCGUAAAAUUGCAGUUGAAACUGGCAGUCUUGAGUACAGUAGAGGUGGGCGGAAUUCGUGGUGUAGCGGUGAAAUGCUUAGAUAUCACGAAGAACUCCGAGUGCGAAGGCAGUUCACUGGACUGCAACUGACACUGAGGCUCGAAAGUGUGGGUAUCAAACAGGAUUAGAUACCCUUGUAGUC